This 1134-nucleotide long non-coding RNA is filed under the name Sus scrofa (pig). RNAcentral describes it as "lncRNA (ENSSSCG00065004560.1)". Lineage: Eukaryota; Metazoa; Chordata; Mammalia; Artiodactyla; Suidae. The record is from RNAcentral.
GGGGGACCUUGGAUAAUGACAGUAAUUGUCACAACUUCCAAUCUUCCUCAAGCUUUAGAGUUCAGGACUCUGGAUCCCCUCACCAAGGCCACGGCACCAGAGAGGAUGAGAAGGGCUGAUGUUGCAUCUCAGCUGCCCUCUUAGCUGACUAGCCGCACGGAAAAAAAUGAAACUAUGCAGUUUUCUUCUGAAGCAAAUUGCUUUAAGUAGAAAAGCUGCUUCCAGCAAAAUGACGAAGCAUUCCAAGUAUCACCGGUGUGCAUGGUGUGGUCCAAAGGGGGCCCUGAAGCUUGCCGAGCACUAACAAGCCAUCUCUGGUUAGCGAGCCGACAGGUGCCUGCAAGUCCAAGCAGCAGAUGACAUCAGGCCGAGGCUGGGGUCCCACAGGCAAACUCACCCCAGCGGACCUCGUGAUACUUUGGGAGGCCAGGCUCACUGUCUCCCAUUCCUAGUCACCUUGUUACCAACUCCUGUGGAAAAUUUAAUGUGGCCAGAAGGAAUUCUGACCUCUUUUAGACAAAAACAUGCUCAUGUUUUUAUGAUGAACUAUUGCAUAUUUUUAUUGAAAACAUUUAAUACUGCUCUAAAAGGGUGACUAUUUUUUAGGUAUUGCCCCACUGCUGAUUUCUGAUUGAAUGCUGCCAAGAACAAGAAAGGAGGAAAAAAAAAAAAAAAAAAAACUGGAGACGCUAUCAGAUUCAUUAAACAUUGUAUUUAAUUGUUCUUGUAUUUAAACCCUGCCCUUAUCAGUGACAUUGCCACUUUUCUCAUUUUUCAAAGUUGCAUAUUGGAAGAAAACAAGAAAAGGGAGCAAUGGUGUGGCCUGGGAAACUAGGGUGUUUACUGCCUAGAGGAACCAGAAGUUCAUAUGGGCCUGGCUGGCUGAAGAAAUGACAGCUCAGCAUAGGGAAGGGGAGGGAAAAAAAAAAAAAAAGGCGAUAGCAGCAGCAAAGCAAGAACAAAACAUUUAAAGAGAUCUGGCCAGAACUGGUCUGCACAAAUUCCUGUCCUGCCUUCCUCCUCCUCGCUCCCACAAGCCGCAGCAAUCUUGCCUUCCCUAGGAAACUGCAACUCCUACCUCCUCCGAGGGGGCUGCGCACGCGCCCCGUGCCGGGGUGCGCGCAUUUUCCCUCU